This 20504-nucleotide long non-coding RNA is filed under the name Lactuca sativa (garden lettuce). Its description in RNAcentral is "long non-coding RNA (LSAT_LNC003401)". The stretch from base 18363 to 18469 matches the Rfam family "Plant small nucleolar RNA R71". The record is from RNAcentral. Lineage: Eukaryota; Viridiplantae; Streptophyta; Magnoliopsida; Asterales; Asteraceae.
GUGAGGAUCUAUCGGAACCCUCCAUGGAUGAAAAUAAUUUAAGGCUUGGACAGAUCGUGAGUACAGAUGAUGUGUAUAAAACCAACUAGUUUUAUUCCUACUUUUCUAAUGUAAAUUUGACACACAAUAGGCAGUGUACCUGUCUAAUGUAAGUAUAGUUUUAGUAAGCAGGAUAUCAAACUCAGGGAACGACAAUUAAACUAAUUACUAGAACUAUCUAAAAACAAAUAAUAAAAGGAGGGGGUUUCUCUAGUUUUGCAAGACUAGAAAACUUAAAUUUCUAACUAAAACUCAAACAAAACAAUUAACAGCUAGAGAGCUAAAAUCAACUAAAUUCAAUGGUGGAAGAGACUUCUGCUUAGGGAUGACUCAUUUGAUCAUAUGGUUGAUUCUAUGAAAAGUGCAAUGGAUUAAUUUAUAUUGGCUACCAAUUAAGAUGAUUAGGUUCACAUUCGCUAUUACUAAUCCUUAGAAAACAAAUUAAUCUAAGCAGUGGCCAUUUGUUUAAAUUAAUGAAGUUCCUAGUUUAUUUAUUCGGAUUAAGUAAGACUUAUAGUGGUUAACUAAAUUGGUCUUUUAAUUAACCUCUUGCUGAUGGUUCGUCAUACAAGGUCAUACAUUAAUUUUCCUAUUUUCUAUUAACCCUAGUUUCACAUUCAUUAUUCCUAGGCAUAUAACAAUGUUUUUACGUUCCUCAUAUGAAGUUAACAAUUAAGAGAUGGUCAUGCAACUUAAUCACAGGUUAAUUAACAGAAAAUAGUUGUAAUUAACACACAAGGUUCUUUAACAAGCUUAACAAAACAUUAUUACCAACAAAAAUUAAUCCUACUCAUAAAUCAACACAAAGUCACAAAGUUGUUUUCCCUAAACAGAAGAUAUAUGUUCUAGUUCAUGAUUAAGACAGUAAAAAACUCAAAAAACACAAUCUAAUAACUCAAACAUGUUUUGGAAACUAGAUUUAGUAAAGAAUAAAUUGAUUUUGCCUUAAUUCUCCUCCAAAAGUUGAUCUAGGUUGAUUCUCCGACUUCUCACGCUCCAGAAGAACCCUUAUUCGCAGAUUUCUCUCGAAGGACUUCUUAGAAAAAUCGAGUGUCGAUCUGGAAGUCUCUUUUUAUAGAUCAGGGGCUACUCAUCGAGUCUAGGUAUAGACUCGCCGAGUCCCUCAUUAAAUCCCCGUGUCCGGCAAGGUAAGGAUUCCUCUACUUCGAGAACCUUCGUGGGAACUCCUUCGAUUCACGUACACACUCGGCGAGUGCCUUGUGAUUUUUGGCUCUUUUCCUCUUUCCUUGACUCACGAGCUCCCGACAGCUGCUCCUUCUUCCUUUUGCUUCGAGCACUUCUUUUGGACUGAAAAUAUAAUUUAAACAUAAUUAAGCAUCUUUUGUUCCAUAAUUGUAGUAAAUUAACCAAAAAGUAUUAACAUUUUAUGCGGAAUAUAUGACUAAAUAUACACAUAUCAAAUUACCCCACACUUGACUUUUGCUUGCCCUCAAGCAAAACUGAAUUUAAGCAUACUAGUAUCACAUAAAAUAAUCCUAAUUAAACCUAACCAUUAUGUCAAGACCUCAACGCAUGCAUUUGUGUCUAAAUUUUUUCCUAAAGCAUCCCGCCAUACUCUAAAUACUAACAACCCUCAUAAACACUCGCCCACUUCUUUCGAACAACGCUCACUUUAUACAUCCCUCCAAAUCAAUCCUAAGAAAACUUCCUUAACCUCAAGGUAUUUUUGUAAAGCUACCCAAGCAUACAUAAUCUAGAAAAAAUUACAACUUUUUCGAUACCACUAUGGAGCUCUUUGGAAUCUGUCACUUCUUUAAUAAUUUGUCUUUGAUGUCUUUGAAUUCACCACCUUUUGAUUGUCGGUAUCUUCAAUUUUUUUGAAUCUUCAGAAUUUUGAUAUUUUGAUCUUCACUUUGAUUGCUCCAAAAUUCUUACAACUUUUCAUGUAAUUCUCUCUCUUUUCUCUUUUUUUACAUGUAUUUCUCACUUUUUUUUCACUUAAUACCUACAUGCUUAAGCAGGGGCACUCAACUUCAACCCUUAUUUGUUAAGAUACAAGCCAUCUUGGAUAGAUUUCUGGUACACGAUGCUAAACAUAUUGCGACCCUCAAACUAAGCAAGGUUGUGUUUUUGUCCCAUGGUUUCACUAGAAUAAGGGAGGCCACAAAUGCAAUAUAGCGUAUAUUGGCUCAACUAAACAUUUGGGUCUUCAAAGAAUCAUCGAACAUAAUACUAGCAUGAACCCUAAUUGCUUUUACCAAAAUUUUCUAAUUUAGCCCUAGCAAUUUUAAUGCAAAAAUUCCAAAAUUUUCAAAAUUUAACUAAAAUUUUAACUAAUGUAACCAACCUCCUACCCCACACUUAAUUUAUGCAAUGUCCCUAUUGCAUAUUAUGCAUAAUAAAGAAUAAUAAAAUAAAGAGGGAAUUGGAACAAACUCCCCUGGGUUAGUAGUUGUGAGCUUGAUAUUCUUCAAUUUAGCUCCAUCUUCAGCUGACUUUAGACAUGGGAACAGCUCAUCCAUGCCUUGGGUGUCAUUCGUCUCGAGUGGUAAACAACUCUAAAAAUGCAGGAAAAACUCUAGGAAAUCUCCAGGAAUUAUACUUCAUAAGUGCAGCCAAUUGCCGUGUGAAACAAUAUCAAAUCAUAAGAAAAGAUGUGGAAUUCGUAGCAACUCUUCGAGUUAGUAGAUAGACUCACCGAGUUGUAGCGUGAAAAUGUGGAAUCCGGAUUUUUACACUGGGACUCGUCAUGUCUGUAUGUGCACUCGGCGAGUCCAUCGCUGUAAAAAAACUGCUUUCUGCUCCAUUAAUUCUGAUGUUGUAAAUACUUCAAAGUUUGGUUCAUGUUAAUCGUUUUCCUCCAGUAUUUAGAUUCUUUUAGACUCUCUUAAACACCGGACCCGAUACUCGAACUUCCUUCUCUCUUUCGCCUAGACUCGACAUUUCUAUCACUCUCGAGACCUUUUGUACUCAACCCUAGCAUCCAAAUUCUGAAAACAAAACUAAAACAAGUAAUCAAGCAAUUAAAAAUCCUAAAGGUACUUGUUCAAACAUCAAACACACACAAACAAAAACAAAUCAAAAGAAAACAAAUAAAAAUUGUUUUUAACACAACCAAAAAUAAAAAGGAUAAUUCAUUCUUCUUCUUCAUCGUCCUCUUCAUCAUCAUCCAUUGCCCCACUUCCACCACCUCCAGUCCUCCUUGCAUCAAUCCGAUCCUCCCAUGUUGAAAUGUAUGGGUAAUUACCCCCAUCAAUGUGCGGGAGUUGAAAGUGAUUAAAAAGCUGAAUAUGGGACUAGUUGCAUAAGUUUAUCCCCCUCUCCAAAUCAUUCUGGAACAGCCUCAUUUCCACAUUAUACCAAUCCAUAGGUACAUCAUUAUCGACCGGGAUCACCGGUAGGUCAUCUUGAGCUUCCCGUUGGCGUCUUCUCACCCUCCUUCCCGGGUCCUCGGGUGCUAGCACCGGCUCAUAACGAGGAAUAGUGUAGGUUCCUCCACCAAAGUCUUAAAUUAUUCUCGCCCUCCUAAAAAGCAUAACACUAAAAGGAGGGGUUGGAACCUCCGUCAUCAUGUCCCAAUCCCCCGCAUUCAUCAACCCAUAAGACUUAGCUAGGCGGGUCACGAACAUCCCACCAUUUAUCUUUGAAAUCUUCCUGUCUUUGACCGCCCCUUCGCUAAAAUAUGUAGCCAUGAAAUAAGGGAUACAGAAAAAAGUGUUUGGAGUGAUAAUAUUCCACAAGUAAAACACGUCCAAACUAGGGACCUUGUCAUCGUAUUUUCUUUGGUUGAUAGUGCUCGAGAUGAGGCGAUAAAUAAGUCGAUGGGUGGGGGAUCGGAUACUCCCCUCUUGAGCAGAUUUUGCAACAUAAACUUUGUUGGAUAUAGUGUUCCACCAAAGGUCACCCUUGACUCCAUCCGGAAAAACUUAAUGGCAAUGCUCCAGAAAUGUUCCAAACGCAGCAGUACUGACCAAUUGUUGGUCAUAAAUCCCCAGUAUCCAUGCUAACUCCACAAUACUGCAUUGGCGGUAUACCCCUCCAAGGCAAAAUGUGAUGUUCCCAGGAUUGUAGUAGUCAUUUCUUCCCCGAAAAGAAACCGUGGUGAAAAACUCCCAACAUAGUUCUUGGUACACCGACUCGUGGAUCCUAAAUAGCCGGUUCCACCUGUCACAUGUAAUAGAGACUCCAUUUUGAUUGAACGUUUUCACUAAGUAGGGGGGCUAACUCCUCUUCGUACCGUACUCUCCCAAUCCACUCCCAAUAAAUCGCAUUGGGUACAUGUAUAUCUUUCUUUUUCAGUUCUUCCAGCUUCUUUCUCCACCUCCUCAUUGUAGAAUCGAAAUUUAUGCGUGGGAAAGUCAACCAAGGAUGAGAAUCUUGGGUUCCAUGGGAGCUUUUCCCCAUUCUUAACAUGUUUCCUACACACAUAAAUAAAACAGAAACCAAAAAAAAACGAAACAUUAAAAAUCAUAUUCUGAUAUUCACGACUAGACUCGUCGAGUCCAUGAAUAGACUCGGCGAGUCCUAUGAACACUCAGAGUCCACAGUAUGGGUAUGAUUGAAUUACUCCAUAAAAACUCAAAAUUUUUCCAGGGCUCUGUCUCGGAAUGUCCAUUAACUAGUUACUUAUCAAUAAUUUCAACAUAAACAUCCUAUUUAAGCAAAAAUCUAACAACCCUAAAAAUGCAAAUCUUUUCAAACCGGAUUUUCACCAAAUUAGGGGCAUAAAACAUCUAAAGGAUGAACCUUUAACAAAAUUAAGGGAGAAUAAUGUUACCUUGCUUGAAGAUUUUGGAGAAAUAGGAGAAAAUAAAGAUGAGAGCUUGAGGGAAGAGAGGCACGUCGAGUGGGGCGGUUGCUGUGUAAAUGAGAGUAAUGUUUCAACAUAGGGUAAAAACCCUAAUUUCACCGGAUUGUAAAAAAAAAUUCGGUAAUAGUACCGACUCGUCAAGUAUGUGUACAAACUCGGCGAGACCGGUCGCGAAGUCAAACUUUUCCGAAUUCGUAUGGACUCGUCGAGUAGAUACCUAACUCGGCGAGUCGAUUAAGCUGUUUGUAUAACAGAAAAAAAUUUCCCAGAAAAAAAAACUUUAUUAAAUUUUUCCACACCCCACACUAAGGCCUUGCGUGUUCCUAAGCAAUCAUUAAGCUGGUCCGCCACGUGGGCCUACAGUCUCCCCGGACCGCUCAUUGGGUAUAUUGGCUUUCAGCACAAAGCAGGACCGCCUCAACCCAACCACCAGCAAAUAACCAUGUGCGCAUACUAUCAUACACAUGCAUAUACAAACAUCAAACAUAUCUGUCACACUGAUCAUCAAUCAUAGAAUUCUCCUGUAACUAGAGUACCGACCUAGCAGGUCACUAACAUACUAAUCCCUACGGAUCAUAAGAGCAUAACAUACUAUCUACCCCGAUUCCGAUCUAACAGAUCAUAAACACAUGUAGCAUACCAUAAAAAUAACAACUAAAGGGUCGGCCUUGGUGCCGUAGACCCUAUCGAUAUAGUGGGGAUAACUCACCUCACAGAUGUCGACACGAAAGGUAAACUCCAACUCCCGGAUGACUUGACACAGGUUCCACCACCUAUCAUCAUAGUACAUCAUACUCAUAAGUUCUUAACCUUAUAAGGUACUCCAUAACCCACUAGUCAACCCCUGGUCAAAGUCAAAGUCCUCAGUCAAGGUCAACAGUCCAUGUUGACCUUAACUCGCCGAGUACCCUUGGCUACUCGUCGAGUUCCCUGAAGUACAUUCCAACUCGUCAAUUCAUCAGAGUGACUCGUCGAGUUCCUUUGAUUCUCGAUCACACUUAAGGUCACCCGUCGAGCUCCCUCCUUGCAACUCGACGGAUACACACUCAUUCAUAACCCAGAGGAAACUCAUCCGACUCGCCGAGUUGCUCUUCAACUCGUCGAGUCUUAUGGCGAUCUUCAUCGGACUCGCCGAGUUGUUCAUCCAACUCGUCGAGUUCAUGGCCAUCUUCAUGUGACUCGUCGAGUCACUUUGCGACUCGUCGAGUCCAUUCAAUCCUUUUCCUCCAUACAGACAUAUUUUGAGCCAUGCAACGGCUCCAACUCAUAGAUCCAAGCUUCUAGGGCAUGUUUAUCACGUAAAGUUGCAAACUUUACGUGCAUGCAUGACUAUAAAGGCUCUAAAUGUCUAUUCUAAGUUCUUAAUGGAACUUCAUGCUCAAGAAGGACCUUAAUCAUAACCAAGACUGUGACUUUAUGCUUCUAGAAUCCAAGGAGGGUCCAGAUCUGAAGUUACAACUUCAGAUCUAGCCCAUAGCUCAUCAUAUCAAAUUAAAUCCAUAAAAAAUCCUAGAAACUCAACAAAAGGGAAAAAGGGAAGUAAGAAUGGCACUUUGAUACCUCCAAAGGAUGCUAGCUGAGGUAAAUCCUACUUCCCACUCCUUCCUUGCUUCAAUUUCCUUUGCACUCUUAGCUUUCUUCGUCCAAGAUCCUCUUUUCCAAGCUUCAAACACCACACCAAGGCACAUACACACGAAUUAGGGUUUUAAGGGGCUCUCAUAGACUAUAAAGAGGCUAAAGGAGGCUAAGGAUCCUUUAAAUAGAGGUGCAAACUCCGGGAUUUAGGGUUUCCACUGCCAACUCCUACUCGCCGAGUCUAACAUGGACUCGUCGAGUAGGUCACUUAACACGCGAUCCCACCCCGCUGCUACUCGACAAGUAGGUCAACCAACUCGUCGAGUAGAGCUUAACCCAAUAAAUCUUAUUUAAGCAAUACCUGAGAAUCGGGGCGUUUCAACUCUCCCCUACUUGAACUAGACUUCGUCCUCGAAGUCCGCUGGAGUAAACAAUGUCGGGUAAUGCUCGCGCAUCUCUGCCUCCGGCUCCCAUGUCCACUCGGAUCCCUUCCGAUGUUCCUAUUGUACCCUUACUAAAGUUAUUUACUUGUUCCGCAGAAUCUUCUUCUUCCUUUCCAAAAUAGCCACAUGCCUCUUCACAUAGUUCAGGCGUUGAUCGACCUGAAUGUCAUCCAACGAUACCACUGCCUCCUGGUCCAUAACGCAUUUUCGCAAUUGCGAAACAUGAAAUGUGGUGUGGAUCCGGCUAAGCUCCUCCAGAAGCUCUAGCCUAUAAGCCACCCUGCCAACCCUGGCAAUAAUCCUGAACGACCCAAUAUAACGGGGACCCAAUUUUCCCCUUUUCCUGAAGCGGAUCACACCCUUCCAGGGUGAGACCUUCAGGAGGACCAUGUCACCCACUUGAAAUUCCAGCUCAGAUCCGCGUCGGUCGGCAUAACUUUUCUGCCGACUCUGAGCGGUCUGCAGUCGCUGUCUAAUUUGUUGUAUCAUCUUGGUAGUUUGCAGAACUACCUCUGUCCGACCCAUCACUCUGUGCCCGAUCUCGCCCCAGCAGACUGGGGUCCUACACUUCCGCCCAUACAACAGCUCGAAAGGCGGGGCGCCAAUACUGGAAUGAUAGUUGUUGUUGUAGGCGAACUCUGCAAGCGAUAGGUGGGAAUCCCAACUCCCACCGAAAUCAAUAACGCACGCCCUCAACAUAUCCUCGAGGGUCUGAAUGGUCCGCUCACUCUGCCCAUCAGUCUGCGGAUGGAACGACGUACUAAAAUGCAGUCGUGUACCCAGUUCCUCAUGGAACUACUGCCAAAAACGGAAAGUAAACCUGACAUCUCGAUCGGAAACGAUAGAAACCGGGACCCCAUGACGAGAGACAACCCCUCUAACGUACAUGUCAACCAACUUCUCUGUCGACGAACCCUACCGUAUGGCUAGGAAAUGGGCACUCUUGGUCAAUCGAUCCACGAUGACCCAUAUAGCAUCGAACCCCCUUUUCAUCUUCGGCAACUUCGUGAUGAAAUCCCUCGUGAUCCGUUCCCAUUUCCACAUGGGAAUCUCCAAAGGCUGCAACUUACCAUGCGGCCUCUAAUGCUCGGCCUUGACCAUCCUACAGGUCAAGCACCUCCCAACAAACCAAGCGAUAUAUCGCUUCAUGCCAGGCCACCAAUAACUCGAACUCAAAUCACAGUACAUCUUGGUGGCUCCCGGGUGAAUCGAAAAACAAGACUGAUGAGCCUCCUCCAUCACUAUCUGCCGGACCCCUCCGGACAUUGGAACCCAAACCCGACCGUAACGGGUCAACAAUCUGCGGCUAUCCUGAACAAACCGGGCACUUUUGCUCUUAAUCCUCUCCAACUUCCAGUUCUUUGGUCUCAUGCCCUCAAUCUGAGCAUCCCUGAUCAAACCCACCAGUGGGGAAUCCACCGCUAUCCUCAUACACCUAGCUGGGGUCGAGGACCCAGCUGACUUGUGGCUCAGAGCAUCCGCAACCACAUUCGCUUUACCAGGAUGGUAAAGGAUCUCGCAAUCAUAAUCCUUGACCACAUCCAGCCACCUGCACUGCCUCAUGUUUAGGUUCGGCUGAUCCAUGAUGUGUCUCUAACUCUUGUGAUCCGUGUAUAUAGUGCAAUGGACCCCGUACAGAUAAUGCCUCCAAAUCUUGAGAGCAAAAACCACUGCUCCCAACUCAAGAUCAUGCAUGGGGUACCUCGUCUCAUGCGGCUUCAGCUGCCGUGAUGCGUAGGCUACCACCCGUCCUCUCUGCAUGAGGACUGCCCCCAAGCCAGUGAUGGGUGCAUCAUAAAAUACCACAAAAUCCUCCACUCCCUUGGGGACUGUCAACACCGGCACCUCGCAUAAACACUGCCGGAGGGUCUCAAAUGCCCUCUGUUGCUCAGGGCCCCACCGGAAAUCCACCCCCUUCCUUGUUAGAUGAGUGAGGGGUACGUAAAUCUUGGAGAAAUCAAGAAUGAAUCUCUGAUAAUACCCUUCUAAACUCAAGAAACUCCUGAUGUCAAAGGGAGAUUUCGGGGUCUCCCACUGUAUAACCGCCUCCACCUUGGCCGUAUCGACCAGAAUCCCCUCCUGGUUAACGAGGUGUCUAAGGAACUGGACCUCCCUUAACCAAAACUCGCAUUUUGAGAACUUGGCAUACAACCGUUCUCGCCUCAGAACUUCCAGCAGCUCCCUGUGAUGCUCCUCAUGCUGCUCUCGAGUCUUGGAGUACACCAAGAUAUCAUCUAUAAACACAAUGAUCGAGUGAUCAAUCAUCGGUCUGCAUACCCGGUUCAUCAGAUCCAUGAACACUGCUGGCGCGUUGGUGAGUCCAAACGACAUCACCUCAAACUCGUAAUGACCAUAACGAGUCUGAAACGCUGUCUUCUCCACGUCCUCCUCCCUCACCCUGACCUGGUGAUAUCCUGAUCUCAAAUCAAUCUUGGAAAACCAAGAUGCACCCUGCAGCUGAUCAAAAAGAUCGUCUAUCCUCGGAAGCGGAUAACGGUUCUUCACCGUUAACUUGUUCAGCUCCCUCUAGUCAAUGCACAUCCUGUGCGAACCGUCCUUCUUCCUGAAGAAAAGGAUCGGUGCUCCCCAGGGUGAACUACUCGGACGAAUAAACUGCUUACCCAACAGUUCCUGCAACUGAGAUGACAACUCCUGCAUCUCUGGCAGUGCCAGUCGGUACGGCGCCUUAGCGAUAGGGGCCACACCUGGCACUAGGUCAAUCCUGAACUCAACUUGCCUCUCCGAAGGCACUCCGGGUAACUCCUCCAGAAACAAAUCAGCAAACUCCCUCACCACUGGGACCUCAGAAACUGAGAGCUACUCUCUAACCUGCGUAUCUACAACAUACGCCAAAUAACCGGCACACCCGUGCUGAAUAUACUGUCGAGCCCUGACUGCCGAAUAAAACCCUGAUCCCAACCUGGUGCCCUCACCAUAUACUACAAGUUCUCCCCCACUUGGGGUUCGAACCACCACCCACUGUCCCUCACAGUCGAUCAUGGCGCCAAAACGGCUAAGCCAAUCCAUCCCUCAUGGGUAUAGGAAUCAAAUCUAUCGGGAAGGACACCCCAAAAAUCUCCAACUCACAUCCACGAAAGACCAAAGAAACAGAGACCUCGUGCUCGUUGGCGAUCGAAACUCGCAACGGACACUCAAGAUCAUCUAUCGGCACACUGAACCCUCUAAAUAAGGUCUGAGAUACAAACGAUCGACUCGCCCCCGAGUCAAAUAAUACCAAAACAGGCAAAGAAUUCACUAAAAACGUACCAGCAACAACAUCCGAUGUUGACUUGGCCUCCUCGGCCGUGAGCUGGAAGGCGAGACCCUGAGCCUUCGGAGGCUCCACAUUGACUGGCCUCCCAUCUCCAAUCCUCACAGCAGCUGGCGCGGAACCCUGCGCCGACUUAGCGGCGAGCUGCGGACAGUUGGUCUUCACAUGACCAACCUAAUGAAAAUGGUAACGAAUCCUCAUAUCUACUAGAGGGGCGGACUGACGGUAGUCCCUGGCAUAGUGCCCCUCCUUGCCACAUUUGUGGCACCCACCUCCCACUCGAAAAAUCCCUGAAUGAGACUUGCCACACUUUCCACAAGUGCGAAUCUGAUGACCCCCGGACCGUGUAUCAGCGGUCUUAGACCGCUUAGGCGUCGGCUGAGACUGUGCCGGUGCCUGACGCUGCUCCUUCAGCUGCAUCUCUAUCUCCAACUCACGCCGCCGCGCGGCUUCCAGGAGGGUAUCACAUUGCUGUGUAGACACAAACUAUCGAAUAUCAGUCUUGAGCAUACUCAUAUAACGAGUCAUCUGAGACUGCUCUGAAGCAAACUCCGGGCAAAACAUAUCCCUCUCCGUGAACAUACGGGUAAUCUCCAUCACAGACUCCCCAUCCUGUCUCAAUGUCAAAAACUCCUGCGCAAGCCGCUCCCGCUCAACGCGUGGAACGUAGCGGGUGCGGAACAUAUCUCUGAGCUGCUCCCAAGUAACAACAGCCCGCUGAUCAUUAGUAUACGAACCAGUCGUCAGCCUCCACCAGUCCUUUGCCCCAAGCCUCAGCAGGUUCAUGGCACACCUGACCUUUUGGUCAGCGGGACAUGAGCACGUGAAGAAACAGCCCUCCACGUCAGAUAACCACCUCAUAGCCCUAAUCGCUGCAGCGGCAGCUGUCUUUGCUAUAGCUGCAUAUCGCUCAUCAAAAUACUCAACCAUCGCGGUCUUAAUCGACCGGAACAUCUCUGGCAGCUGCGCUUGGAACGCAGCAGCAAUCUCGUCGUGCAUGAUCUCCCUGAUCCUGGCAUCCAACUCCUCGGUCCCUAUCUGAACCACUGGCUCAGGUACUACCGGCACCUCCAACCCUCCGUCUCCCGACCCCGAUCCUGAUCCUGAUCCUGAUCCGGAUCCCGAAGCAACACGUCUCGUCACCACCAUACUGGAAUAUAUAUACAAGUCAUCAGAUAAAUAACAUAAUGUCGGGAGACCAAAACCCCAAAAACCCCAAGGGUUGUGAUUUCAUUGCCACGCGUAUGGGUCCUGUGCCUUUAGUAGUACGGGCCCAUACUACCUUCCACACCUACCCAUAUUUGUCUCAAGUAUCACCACAACGCCCUAACAAUAUCAUCAACAUAGAAAUGCGCCCAACCCUCACUUCUAGGGGAAUACCAAAUAUCUCGCAUCUAGUCUUACCACUUAUCACAACUCACACAUCCAUGAAACUUCCAUCAUCCCCUGCAUCGACAGUGCACACUAGCUGCACGUAACGCUAGACCCCAUAGACUUUCGAAUAUAUAAUCCUACACUUAGGUCGAAUCAGACAUUCUCAGGCUAUAAGAUCUUGAUUAUACACAGUCGUGAUGCAUACACCAAACAUCUACAGUUAUGAUGUCAAUUCCAUAUACAAGAAACCCUAGGCUAAUAGGCAUCAUAUAAUCAGGCAAAGCCAUCAUGCGAUUCCUGAAGAUCCCUAGCCUAGCACUAGCAUGUUGUUCUAACAUAUCAGAAUAUCAAAUAACUAUAUGGUAUUUUAGGGUUCACUUACAGGCUCCGGCUGAUCGUACCCUUUGCAUCCUCCAUCCUUAUUUUGAAAACCAUUUUAAAACUUAUGUUCCGAAAAUCUCCUUGAUUUGAGACUAGAUUCACACGAGUGUUCCUCUAAUUCACUCAAACCAAGGCUCUGAUACCAACUUAUAACAUCCAUAAAUUUUACGCCAAAUUAAAACUUUUUCAAUCAUAAAUAAAAACCAAAUAGUAUUGUUUACAAAAUGUUUUCAAAUCAUUUUCCAUCAGAGUGUCCCAAAAAUCAUAUCAUAAGGAUGAGGAGUGGUACGGUCAUGCCUUCGCCUUUCCAUGAUCUCCUAAAGUACAUGAAACAAUAAAUUGAAAACUGUAAGCCCGAGGGCUUAGUGAGCUACCCCCAAAAUACCAAGACCACACUGACAAUACUAUAUCAGUAAUAAUCAAUCAAUCAUCAUGCAUACUGGGCCAUCGGCCUGAGCGGACCGCCCUACCGGGCCUACAGUCUGUCUGAAUCUAUCCUGAGCCUUCAGCAUGACUAGUCCGCCACGUGGGCCUACAGUCUCCCCGAACCGCUCAUAGGGUAUAUCGGCCUUCAGCACAAAGCAGGACCACCUCAACCCAACCACCAACAAAUAACCAUGUGCACAUACUAUCAUACACAGGCAUAUACAAACAUCAAACAUAUCUGUCACAUUGAUCAUCAAUCAUAGAAUUCUCCUGUAACUAGAGUACCGACCUAGCAGGUCACUAACAUACCAAUCCCUACGGAUCAUAAGAGCAUAACAUACUGUCUACCCCGAUUCCGAUCUAACAGAUCAUAACCACAUGUAGCAUACCAUAACAAUAACAAUUAAAGGGUCGGCCUUGGUGUCGUAGACCCUAUCGAUAUAGUGGGGAUAACUCACCUCGCAGAUGUCGACACGAAAGGUAAACUCCAACUCCCGGAUCACUUGACACAGGUUCCACCACCUAUCAUCAUAGUGCAUCAAACUUAUAAGUCCUUAACCAUAUAAGGUACUCCAUAAGCCACUAGUCAACCCCUGGUCAAAGUCAAAGUCCUCAGUCAAGGUCAACAGUCCAUGUUGACCUUAACUCGCCGAGUACCCUUAGAUACUCGCCGAGUUCCCUGAAGUACAUUCCAACUCUCCGAGUCAUCGGAGUGACUCGACGAGUUCCUUUGAUUCUCGAUCACACUUAAGGUCACCCAUUGAGUUCCCUCCUUGCAACUCGACGGAUACACACUCAUACAUAUCCCAGAGGAAACUCAUUCGACUCGCCGAGUUGUUCUUCAACUCGUCGAGUCUUAUGGCGAUCUUCAUCGGACUCGCCGAGUUGUUCAUCCAACUCGUCGAGUUCAUGGCCAUCUUCAUGUGACUCGCCGAGUCCGUUCAGUCCUUUUCCUCCAUACAGACAUAUUUUGAGCCAUACAACGGCUCCAACUCGUUGAUCCAAGCUUCUAGGGCAUGUUUAUCACGUAAAGUUGCAAACUUUACGUGCAUGCAUGACUAUAAAGGCUCUAAAUGUCUAUUCUAAGUUCUUAAUGGAACUUCAUGCUCAAGAGGGACCUUAAUCACAACCAAAACUGUGACUUUAUGCUUCUAGAAUCCAAGGAAGGUCCAGAUCUGAAGUUACAACUUCAGAUCUAUCCCAUAGCUCAUCAUACCAACUUAAAAAUCCAUAAAAAAAACCCUAGAAACUCAUCAAAAGGGAAAAAGGGAAGUAAGAAUGUCACCUUGAUACCUCCAAAGGAUGCUAGCUGAGGUAAAUCCUGCUUCCCACUCCUUCCUUGCUUCAAUUUCCUUUGCACUCUUAGCUUUCUUCGUCCAUGAUCCUCUUUUCCAAGGUUCAAACACCACACAAAGGCACACACACACGAAUUAGGGUUUUAAGGGGCUCUCGAAGACUGUAAAGAGGCCAAAGGAGGCUAAGGCUCCUUUAAAUAGAGGUGCAAACCCCGGGAUUUAGGGUUUCCACUGCUAGCUCCUACUCGCCGAGUCUAGCAUGGACUCAUCAAGUAGGUCAAUUAACACGCGAUCCCACCCCGCUGCUACUCGACAAGUAGGUCAACCAACUCGUCGAGUAGAGCUUAACUCAAUAAAUCUUAUUUAAGCAAUACUUGAGAAUCAGGGCGUUACAACACUAAUCUAUAUGGUGUGGUUCCAAUGGGUGUUUUAACUGUGGUCCUAAAUGCCCAAAGUGCAUCAUCCAAUUGAUCCACACGAUCUUUUCUAUUGUGCCCUACCGAUUUUUCCAAAAUUCUUUUUAUCCCCCUAUUUGUAAUUUCGAUUUGCCCAUUUGAUUGUGGAUGAUAAGGUGUUGAAAAUCUAUGGCGUACCCCGUAUUUUUGCAACACUUUUGCUAGUUGAUCAUUAGCAAAGUGGGUUCCCCGAUCACUAAUUAAUGCUUUAGGCACUCCAAAUCUUGAAAAUGAUUUCUUUAAAAACUUCACCACCACUCUUGCAUCAUUAGUUGGUAAUGCCUGUGCUUCCGCCCACUUUGACACAUAAUCUACCGCCACUAGUAUAUAUUUGUUGCCUUUGGAUAAAGGAAAGGGUCCCAUGAAAUCUAUACCCCAAACAUCAAAAAUCUCACAUACUUGAGUAUUCAAUCGGGACAUUUCAUUCCUUGCCGAUAUAUUCCCCGUUCGUUGGCAAGCAUCACAUUCUUUCACGUAGGUAGCGGCAUCUCUGAAAAUAGUAGGCCAAUAAAAACCAGCAUCAAACACUUUUUUAGCAGUGUAUUGUACCCCAUGAUGUCCUCCAGCAGGUCCGCUGUGGCAAUGCUCUAAUAUGUCUCUACUUUCUUUUCCAAACACACAUCUUCUUAUUAUUCCAUCCGCACAACUUCUAAAAAGAUAAGGCUCGUCCCAAAAAUAAUAUUUAAUUUCGGAAAAGAAUUUCUUCUUUUGUUGAUGGGUAAGGUCUUUUUUAAGGUAAUUGCCAGCCAAAUAAUUUGCAAUGUCUGCAUACCACAGGUCUUCAUCCACAACCAUCAUCAAAUACUCUUCUGGGAAGCUAUCUUCAAUACCCAUGUUGUCUUUAUCUUCCCUUUCCAGAUUUUCUAGUCUAGAUAGGUGGUCAGCAGCUACAUUCUCCAUCCCUUUUUAUCCCUGAUUUCGAUGUCAAAUUCUUGGAGUAAAAUCACCCAUCGGAUCAAUCUUGGCUUUGCAUCCUGCUUGGCAAACAAGUACUUAAUAGCAGAGUGGUCAGUAAAAACAGUGGUCUUUCAUAAAAUAAGAUAAGGGCGGAAUUUUUCAAAAGCAUACACCACGGCUAGUAAUUCUUUUUUGGUUGUGGUGUAAUUUUCUUGGGUCGGGUUCAAAGUCUUGCUUGCAUAAUAAAUGGGUCGAAAGUGCUUAUCAACCCUUUGUCCAAGUACGACUCCUAAUGCAAAGUCACUAGCGUCACACAUUAUUUCAAAAGGCAAGUUCCAAUUCGGGGCAAUAAUGAUCGGAGCAUUAGUUAAUUUUUCUUUCAAAAUUUCAAAAGCCUCUAGAGACUCUUUAUUAAAAUGAAAUGGUGCAUCUUUUAAAAGUAAUUGAGUUAGAGGUCUAGUAAUUUUAGAAAAAUCCUUUAUAAAAUGGCGGUAAAAACCUGUGUGGCCUAAAAAACUCCUAAUGCCCUUCACAUUAGUUGGUGAAGGUAAUUUAGCAAUUGUAUCAAUUUUUGCCCGAUCCACCUCAAUUCUCGCUUUGGAUACCUUAUGCCCUAAUACUAUACCCUCUUUAACCUUAAAGUGACAUUUUUCCCAAUUGAGAACUAAUUCGGUUUUUUCGCACCUAGCAAGCAUCAAGUCAAGGGUAGCAAGACAAUCAUGAAAAGAAGAUCCAAAAACAGAAAAAUCGUCCAUAAAUACUUCCAUAAACUUUUCCACCAUGUCAUCGAAAAUUGUCGUCAUGCAUCUUUGAAAGGUUGCAGGUGCAUUGCACAACCCAAAAGGCAUGCAUCGAUAGGCAAAAGUCCCACUUGGGCAAGUGAAAGUAGUCUUUUCUUGGUCGAUUGGGUAUAUGGGUAUUUGGAAGUAACUCGAAAAUCCAUCUAAGAAAAAAUAAUAGCUAUGACCGGAUAAUCUUUCAAGCAUUUGAUCAAUAAAAGGUAAAGGAAAAUGGUCUUUAUGAGUGGCAUCAUUUAACUUUCGAUAAUCGAUGCACACUCGCCAACAGGUUACCGUUCGGGUCGGAAUAAGUUUGUUCUUUUCGUUUGUCACCACCGUCAUCCCACCUUUCUUGAGCACCACUUGAACAGGACUAACCCAUGGCCUAUCACGAAUAGAAUAAAUAAUCCCUGCAUCUAAAAGCUUGACUACUUCCUUCUUGACCACUUCUUGCAUGUUCGGGUUCAACCUCCUUUGAUGUUGCACUACCGGCUUCGCCCCUUCUUCCAGGUUGAUCUUAUAAGAGCAACAAGAAGGGCUUAUUCCCUUGAUAUUGGUGAUACUGCACGCAAUGGCACUCUUUCUCUUCUUUAGGACAUGGACUAAUUCUUCUUUUUCAAAUUUGGAGAGGUCAAAAUCUAUAACAACUGGUUUUUGAUCACCUUCUUCAAGAACUGCAUACUCUAAAUGAUCAGGUAGAGUUUUAAGGUCUAAUUUCAUAUUUUGUAUACUAGACACGUCGAGUCGAGGUAUGUAACUCAUCGAUUCUAUGCUAAAAUUAUCGCUUGAUCGAGAAUUCUCGUAGGGACUCGUCGAGUAUGUGGUAUCGACUCGGCGAGUCGAGCUUUCUACCCUUAUGAUCAAUUCAUUGUAGUCGGAUUCUUCUAGCAGUCUUUCUAUCUCUUUCAGGUCCCCUUCAGCAUCAAAAUCUUCUUCAAAAGAAAUGGUUCAAUUGCUCCCAUUUUCCUCUUUCCAAUCCUCUAUUAAUUUGUCCAUCAUAUCUACCGAGAACGCGGUAUCAUCACUAAACCUUGCAUGCUUCAUUGCUUGAUCUACUCCAAAUGUCACUGAUUCGUCUCCCACCCGAACGGUAAGUUUGGAAUCUCGCAUAUCUACUAUAGCACUCGCGGUGUUGAGGAAAGGUCUCCCAAGUAUGAUCGGGACUUGAGGAUCCGCUUCCAUGUCUAGAACUAUGAAAUUCGUGGGGAACACGAACUUAUCAACUUUUACCAAUAGGUCCUUGCAUAUUCCCCUUGGAAAUGUGACCGUUUUAUUAGCUAAGUGUAUUGCCACUCGAAUUGGCCUUGGCUCCGGAAGGUCCAAUUUCUUAAAGAACGAAUAUGGCAUGAGAUUUACACAUGCCCCCGAAUCCGCUAAUGCGUGUAUAGUUGCCAAAUUUCCGAAUUGACAAGGCAAUGUCAAACUACCUGGGUCACCUUUCUUUUUAGGCAUUUUGUUCAACAUGGCAGCUGAACAAUUUUCAUUGAAAACUACAUCUUUUAUUUCUUCCAUCUUUUUUCUAUUUGUGAGGAGCUCCUUUAAGAAUUUGGCAUACUUUGGCAUUUGUGCAACCGCCUCGGUAAAGGGCAUGUUAAUUUGAAGGGCUUUGAUGUGUUCCAAAUUUUUUUGAUAAUCAACAUCAUGCUUAUCUUGUCUAGCUCGGCCUGGAAAUGGUAAUAGAGGCUGAUAUGGUUUAACAGAAGGGUCUUUUUUCGAUUCAAGCGGAGGACCCGUCGAGUCCAUGUCCGCGACUCGGCGAGUAGUGUCGGGGUUCGGUGGUUUCUGCUUUUCUGCCUCCUCUUGCACCAGUUUGGGAUCUUCAUUCUGAAUAGAAUUCAGAGGGGUUAUAAUCUUCCCACUCCUAGUUGUCACAAUAUUUAUAUGUGUACCUUUCGGGUUACUUUCAGUGUUACUAGGAAGUCCACCCGGGCUUUUCUCAUUCACUUGUUGUGCAAGUUGCCCCAGCCACUUUUCUAUGUUGAGAAUAGAUGCUUGCUGAUUCCUAAGCAAGGCUUAUUGAUCUUUCAUCAGAAGUUGUUUUUCUCUCAACAUAUUUUGUUGAUCUUUAAGUGUAGCAUUGGUAUCAUUGUGUCUUUUCUCGGAUGCGGCCACGAAUCUUAUAAGCAUGUCUUCCAAAUCUGACUUCUUUUCAGGUACCAGUUCCUCCUUUUGAUAAUAGCCUCUCUCCUUUUGCUUAUACUUUUCUUCCCUUGUCUUUUUGUACUCAUCAUAUGCUAGCCAUUCUUUCUUUGGUUUCCGCCAAUUGUCAUCAAACCUAUCACCACUUGAAUAGCAUACUUGUACCUUUCGGUUCCCAUUCUUAUCAAGAUCACAGUCCUUUGUAAGGUGGGGCCCUCUACAGUUUUCACAACCUACUCUAAUAGCAUGGAUGGAUUGGUCCAUCUUAUUCAUUCUUCGGUCCAUGCUUUCCGAUUUUGCCGUCAUUGUUGCCAUGUCAUCAGUGAUAGAAUUUACCGCCCUUCGAGUCAAGUCAUUCCUUGGGUUAUGAUAUUCUCUAAAGUGCUUAGAGAAUUCUUCAAUUAGUUCUUUGAUCACCGGGAGUGCCUUCUUUGUGAGAGAUCCUUGUGAUUCAAGGAGCUGCCUAGUUGUUACAUUGACUCCAUCAUAAAACAUGGAAACUUCUUGUUAACUGUUUAGAUCAUGAUGUGGACAAUUCCUUAGUAGGCCCUUGUAUAUCUCCCAAGCCUCAUAAAGUGAUUCUCCAGCUUGUUGUUCAAAGUUGGCAAUAACUUUCUUCAACUUGGCUAUCUUCGAAGGAGGGAAAAACUGGUUAAUGAAUUCUUCUUUCAUCUUGGCCCAUGUAGUGAUGGAUCCUGGUGGUAGUGAAUUGAGCCAAUCCUUUGCAGUACCCUUGAAUGUAACUGGAAGCAUACGAAGCAACACAGUUUUGCUAGGCAUAUUUGGAACAUUAAAAUAAUCAGUUACAUUGUUGACCUCAUCCAAAUGCUUGUAGGCAUCUUCGUGAUCUUUCGCGUAGAAGGGGAUUUCCUUAAGUUGAGCAAGUAUGUGGCCCUUUAGUUCGAAAGUGGUAGUAACGGGAAUCACCGGUUUCACGGGUCCUGGGCCGGUAUCGUCACGUAUCCUCUUCUUCCAUUCACCAAUAGGAACUUCAUCAAUGUUCGCCAUGGUAUUAGCGGGUUCGUCUUCAAAGUCGCUUUCUUCUUUGGAUUCGGUUUCUUCCUUUUUGGUUUCGUACUCGGUGUCCUCCUUCUGCGGGUCUUCUUCCGCUAAUGAAGAGAAGCUGGAUUCUCCUACCUUCUUGCCCUUUUCUUACUAAAAAUGGCUUUUAAAUUCUUCAAUGGUGAAUUCUUCGAUGUUGCAGUUUCUCCUACGUUCUUGCCUUUUUUUUCUUCAAGGUUGCUUCCGGAUCCUCAAGUGGUGGGAUCAAAGGUGUACCUCAUCCCCUGGUCAUAAACGAACUGCAAACAAAACAGAAAACACGCGUAAAAAGAACAAAACAAAAAGAAUAAAAAAACUAAAUUUCCUGUUCAGCUAUGGACUCGUCGAGUCUGUCCGUAGGGACUCGGCGAGUUCACUGCCUACACAAAAAAAAUUCUGAAACAAAUUUCCUAAAAGCUGAAAACUAAAAAUUAUUGCUAAUACCUAAUCUACUUAAAAUAGUAACUUUGUGCAAGACAAAUCUAACACAAAGGAUUGAUAACAAUAACAAUCAAUUUAAAUUUAGAACCGUUCCCCGGCAACGGUGCCAAAAACUUGAUGUGUGUAAAACCAACUAUUUUUAUUCCUACUUUUCUAAUGUAAAUUUGACACACAAUAGGCAGUGUACCUAUCUAAUGUAAGUAUAGUUUUUAGUAAGCAGGAUAUCGAACUCAGGGAACGACAAUUUAACUAAUUACUAGAACUAUCUAAAAAAAAUAAUAAAAGGAGGGUGUUUCUCUAGUUUUGCAAGACUAGAAAACUUAAAUUUCUAACUAAAACUCAAACAAAACAAUUAACAACUAGAAAGCUAAAAUCAACUAAGUUCAAUGGUGGAAGAGACUUCUGCUUAGGGGUGACUCAUUUGAUCAUAUGGUUGAUUCUAUGAAAAGUGCAAUGGAUUAAUUUAUAUUGGCUAACGAUUAAGAUGAUUAGGUUCACGUUCGCUAUUACUAAUCCUUAGAAAACAAAUUAAUCUAAGCAGUGGCCAUUUGUUUAAAUUAAGGAAGUUCAUAGUUUAUUUAUUCGGAUUAAGUAAGACUUGUAGUGGUUGACUAAAUUGGUCUUUUAAUUAACCUCUUGCUGAUGGUUCGUCAUACAAGCUCAUACAUUAAUUUCCUAUUUUCUAUUAACCCUAGUUUCACGUUCACUAUUCCUAGGCAUAUAACAAUGUUUUCACAUUCCUCAUAUGAAGUUAGCAAUUAAGAGAUGGUCAUGCAACUUAAUCACAGGUUAAUUAACAGAAAAUAGUUGUAAUUAACACACAAGGUUCUUUAACAAGCUUAACAAAACACUAUUACCAACAAAAAUUAAUCCUACUCAUAAAUCAACACAUAGUCACAAAUUUGUUUUCCCUAAACAGAAGAUAUAUGUUCUAGUUCAUGAUUAAGACAAUAAAAAACUCAAAAACACAAUCUAAUAACUCAAACAUGUUUUGGAAACUAGAUUUAGUAAAGAACAAAUUGAUUUUGCCUUAAUUCUCCUACAAAAGUGGAUCUAGGUUGAUUCUCCGACUUCUCAUGCUUCAGAAGAACCCUUAUUCACAGCUUUCUCUCCAAGGACUUCUUAGAAAAAUCGGGUGUCAAUCUGGAAGUCUCUUUUUAUAGAUCAGGGGCGACUC